GACGAACGCUGGCGGCGUGCCUAACACAUGCAAGUCGAACGAAGCAAUAAAGACGGAGAUUCGUCAAAGCCUUUAUUGACUUAGUGGCGGACGGGUGAGUAACGCGUGAGCAACCUGCCUUUCAGUGGGGGACAACAGUUGGAAACGACUGCUAAUACCGCAUAAUGCUUUUGAGCGGCAUCGCUUGAAAGCCAAAGAUUUAUCGCUGAAAGAUGGUCUCGCGUCUGAUUAGCUAGUUGGUGAGGUAACGGCUCACCAAGGCGACGAUCAGUAGCCGGUCUGAGAGGAUGAACGGCCACAUUGGGACUGAGAUACGGCCCAG
RNAcentral lists this ribosomal RNA (322 nucleotides) under uncultured bacterium. RNAcentral describes it as "bacterial SSU rRNA". It matches the Rfam family "Bacterial small subunit ribosomal RNA", at positions 28 to 334 of the family's 1533-position model. The record is from RNAcentral.